ACGGAAGGCAGCAGUAGGGAAUAUUGCACAAUGGGGGGAACCCUGAUGCAGCAACGCCACGUGUGGGAAGGAGCAUUUCGGUGUGUAAACCACUGUCGUGAGGGAAUAAUGCUUGAUUUCGGUCAAGUUGAAUGUACCUCGAAAGGAAGCACCGGCAAACUUCGUGUCAGCAGCCGCGGUAAUACGAGGGGUGCAAGCGUUGUUCGGAAUCACUGGGCGUAAAGGGAGCGUAGGCGGAGACGCAAGCAGUCUGUACAAUGCCGGGGCCCAACCCCGGACCUGCAGACUGGACUGUGCCUCUUGGAUAGUUCAGGGGCAGGCGGAAUUCCUGGUGUAGCGGUGGAAUGCGUAGAGAUCAGGAAGAACACCGAUGGCGAAGGCAGUCUGCUGGGGACUCAUCGACGCUGAGGCUCGAAAGUGCGGGUAGCAAACAGGAUUAGAUACCCUGGUA
RNAcentral lists this ribosomal RNA (451 nucleotides) under uncultured Fibrobacter sp. Its description in RNAcentral is "bacterial SSU rRNA". It matches the Rfam family "Bacterial small subunit ribosomal RNA", at positions 341 to 792 of the family's 1533-position model. Lineage: Bacteria; Pseudomonadati; Fibrobacterota; Fibrobacteria; Fibrobacterales; Fibrobacteraceae. The record is from RNAcentral.